CAAAAUGACUCUCGGCAACGGAUAUCUCGGCUCUCGCAUCGAUGAAGAACGUAGCGAAAUGCGAUACUUGGUGUGAAUUGCAGAAUCCAGUGAACCAUCGAGUCUUUGAACGCAAGUUGCGCCCGAAGCYUUCGGGCUAAGGGCACGUCUGCCUGGG
RNAcentral lists this ribosomal RNA (157 nucleotides) under Fagonia scabra. Its description in RNAcentral is "5.8 ribosomal RNA". It matches the Rfam family "5.8S ribosomal RNA". Rfam says of the family: 5.8S ribosomal RNA (5.8S rRNA) is a component of the large subunit of the eukaryotic ribosome. Lineage: Eukaryota; Viridiplantae; Streptophyta; Magnoliopsida; Zygophyllales; Zygophyllaceae. The record is from RNAcentral.